CAGCGCGUACAUAAAAUACCGCAUGUCCAUUCCCCUGUCUGUCCUUCCGGACUUCUGGUUAAUUAGAUUUUUCAAGUGUACAAUUCUUGCCAACUUUCUAUAAAACUGAUAUCGUAUGGACACGUUCGAAAAUCAGUGCAUAUCAACUAUUCUUUAAAAGAGUUAUGCCAUUUGGAAAUAUUAAUUAUAUUGAAAAUUGCAUUGUAUUUUCUGUCAUUCCGUCAUUUCUCUAAUAUAUCUAUAAAAAAAUAAAGAAAAAAAUAAACAGCUGCGCUUCGAGCGCAUGAUACGCCCUUCGUCUUAUGAAAAAAAACCAACAUAAUAUAUGUUUUUAAAAUAACACGGGGG
This 348-nucleotide long non-coding RNA is filed under the name Mytilus galloprovincialis (Mediterranean mussel). The record is from RNAcentral. Lineage: Eukaryota; Metazoa; Mollusca; Bivalvia; Mytilida; Mytilidae.